RNAcentral lists this ribosomal RNA (301 nucleotides) under uncultured bacterium. Its description in RNAcentral is "partial 16S ribosomal RNA". It matches the Rfam family "Bacterial small subunit ribosomal RNA", at positions 509 to 807 of the family's 1533-position model. The record is from RNAcentral.
CAGUCGCCGCGGUAACACGUAGGGUGCGAGCGUUAAUCGGAAUUACUGGGCGUAAAGCGUGCGCAGGCGGUUGUGUAAGACAGGUGUGAAAUCCCCGGGCUUAACCUGGGAACUGCGCUUGUGACUGCACAGCUAGAGUAUGGCAGAGGGGGGUGGAAUUCCACGUGUAGCAGUGAAAUGCGUAGAGAUGUGGAGGAACACCGAUGGCGAAGGCAGCCCCCUGGGCCAAUACCGACGCUCAUGCACGAAAGCGUGGGGAGCAAACAGGAUUAGAUACCCCCGUAGUCCCUGUCUCUUAUAC